Molecule: small nuclear RNA, 324 nt
Filed under: Mus caroli (Ryukyu mouse)
Lineage: Eukaryota; Metazoa; Chordata; Mammalia; Rodentia; Muridae
Description: sRNA (MGP_CAROLIEiJ_G0008905.1)
Rfam family: 7SK RNA (bases 1-290)
About the family: 7SK was discovered as an abundant small nuclear RNA in the mid-70s but a possible function has only recently been suggested. Two independent studies have found that 7SK RNA binds the CDK9/cyclin T complex (known as elongation factor P-TEFb). P-TEFb activates transcription by phosphorylating the C-terminal domain of RNA polymerase II.
Source: RNAcentral
GGAUGUGAGGGUGAUCUGGCUGCGACAUCUGUCACCCCAUUGAUCGCCAGGGUUGAUUCAGCUGAUCUGGCUGGCUAGGUGGGUGUCCCCCUCCUUCCUCACAGCUCCAUGUGCGUCCUUCCCGAAGCUGUGUGCACUCAGUCGAAGAGGACAACCUUCCCCAAAUAGAGGGUGACCAGCCUUCGGUCAAUGGUAUACAAGUAGCUGUGCUCCCCUGCUAGAACCUCCAAACAAGCUCUCAGGGACCCGCAGUAUAUGUUUGGGAAUAUAUAAUAUAAGCGUGAAGACCAGGGGAACAGAAAUAUAUCCAAACAAACGUGAUUU